Molecule: ribosomal RNA, 460 nt
Filed under: uncultured bacterium
Lineage: Bacteria
Description: partial 16S ribosomal RNA
Rfam family: Bacterial small subunit ribosomal RNA
Source: RNAcentral
CCUACGGGAGGCAGCAGUGAGGAAUAUUGGUCAAUGGACGAGAGUCUGAACCAGCCAAGUAGCGUGAAGGAUGACUGCCCUAUGGGUUGUAAACUUCUUUUAUAUGGGAAUAAAACGUUCCACGUGUGGGAUUUUGUAUGUACCAUAUGAGUAAGGAUCGGCUAACUCCGUGCCAGCAGCCGCGGUAAUACGGAGGAUACGGGCGUUAUCCGGAUUUAUUGGGUUUAAAGGGAGCGUAGGUGGAUUGUUAAGUCAGUGGUGAAAGUUUGCGGCUCAACCGUAAAAUUGCAGUUGAAACUGGCAGUCUUGAGUACAGUAGAGGUGGGCGGAAUUCGUGGUGUAGCGGUGAAAUGCUUAGAUAUCACGAAGAACUCCGAUUGCGAAGGCAGUUCACUGGACUGCAACUGACACUGAGGCUCGAAAGUGUGGGUAUCAAACAGGAUUAGAUACCCCAGUAGUC